This 418-nucleotide unclassified non-coding RNA is filed under the name soil metagenome. Its description in RNAcentral is "partial contains 5.8S ribosomal RNA, internal transcribed spacer 2, and large subunit ribosomal RNA". The stretch from base 1 to 120 matches the Rfam family "5.8S ribosomal RNA", at positions 35 to 154 of the family's 154-position model. The record is from RNAcentral.
GAUGAAGAACGUAGCGAAAUGCGAUAAGUAAUGUGAAUUGCAGAAUUCAGUGAAUCAUCGAAUCUUUGAACGCAUCUUGCGCUCCUUGGUAUUCCUUGGAGCAUGCCUGUUUGAGUAUCAUGAGCAAAUCUCAAAGUCAAUUCCUUUUGUUGAUUCAAUUGGUUUUGCUUUGGACUUGGAGGCCUUGCAGAUUUCACAGUCUGCUCCUCUUAAAUGCAUUAGCUGGAUCUCAGUAAUUAUGCUUGGUUCCACUCGGCGUGAUAAGUAUCACUCGCUGAGGACACUGUUAAAAAGGUGGCCAGGAAAAUACUGAUUGAACCGCUUCUAACGGUCUAUUAAUUUAGACAAUUACCCUUAAGUUUGAUCUCAAAUCAGGUAGGACUACCCGCUGAACUUAAGCAUAUCAAUAAGCGGAGGA